GACGAACGCUGGCGGCGUGCUUAACACAUGCAAGUCGAGCGGUAAGGCCCUUUCGGGGGUACACGAGCGGCGAACGGGUGAGUAACACGUGGGUGACCUGCCCUCAGCUCUGGGAUAAGCCCGGGAAACUGGGUCUAAUACUGGAUAUGACUCCAUGACGCAUGUUGUGGGGCGGAAAGCCUUGUGCGGCUGGGGAUGGGCCCGCGGCCUAUCAGCUUGUUGGUGGGGUGAUGGCCUACCAAGGCGACGACGGGUAGCCGGCCUGAGAGGGCGACCGGCCACACUGGGACUGAGACACGGCCCAGACUCCUACGGGAGGCAGCAGUGGGGAAUCUUGCGCAAUGGGCGAAAGCCUGACGCAGCGACGCCGCGUGAGGGAUGACGGCCU
Molecule: ribosomal RNA, 388 nt
Filed under: uncultured bacterium
Lineage: Bacteria
Description: bacterial SSU rRNA
Rfam family: Bacterial small subunit ribosomal RNA
Source: RNAcentral